RNAcentral lists this ribosomal RNA (115 nucleotides) under Pteropus alecto (black flying fox). Lineage: Eukaryota; Metazoa; Chordata; Mammalia; Chiroptera; Pteropodidae. The record is from RNAcentral.
GUCUACAGCCAUGCCACCCUGAACAUGCCCGAUCUCGUCUGAUCUCAGAAGCUAAGCAGGGUCAACCUGGUUAGUACGUGGAUGGGAGACCACCUAGGAAGACCAGGUGUAAAAA